This 490-nucleotide ribosomal RNA is filed under the name uncultured bacterium. RNAcentral describes it as "partial 16S ribosomal RNA". It matches the Rfam family "Bacterial small subunit ribosomal RNA", at positions 28 to 507 of the family's 1533-position model. The record is from RNAcentral.
GAUGAACGCUAGCUACAGGCUUAACACAUGCAAGUCGAGGGGCAGCAUGGUCUUAGCUUGCUAAGGCCGAUGGCGACCGGCGCACGGGUGAGUAACACGUAUCCAACCUGCCGUCUACUCUUGGACAGCCUUCUGAAAGGAAGAUUAAUACAAGAUGGCAUCAUGAGUCCGCAUGUUCACAUGAUUAAAGGUAUUCCGGUAGACGAUGGGGAUGCGUUCCAUUAGAUAGUAGGCGGGGUAACGGCCCACCUAGUCUUCGAUGGAUAGGGGUUCUGAGAGGAAGGUCCCCCACAUUGGAACUGAGACACGGUCCAAACUCCUACGGGAGGCAGCAGUGAGGAAUAUUGGUCAAUGGGCGAGAGCCUGAACCAGCCAAGUAGCGUGAAGGACGACUGCCCUAUGGGUUGUAAACUUCUUUUAUAAAGGAAUAAAGUCGGGUAUGGAUACCCGUUUGCAUGUACUUUAUGAAUAAGGAUCGGCUAACUCCGUG